This 454-nucleotide ribosomal RNA is filed under the name uncultured bacterium. RNAcentral describes it as "bacterial SSU rRNA". It matches the Rfam family "Bacterial small subunit ribosomal RNA", at positions 28 to 493 of the family's 1533-position model. The record is from RNAcentral.
GACGAACGCUGGCGGCGCGCCUAACACAUGCAAGUCGAACGGAGCUGAGAGGAGCUUGCUUUUCUUAGCUUAGUGGCGAACGGGUGAGUAACGCGUGAGUAACCUGCCCUGGAGUGGGGGACAACAGUUGGAAACGACUGCUAAUACCGCAUAAGCCCACGAUCCGGCAUCGGAUUGAGGGAAAAGGAUUUAUUCGCUUCAGGAUGGACUCGCGUCCAAUUAGCUAGUUGGUGAGGUAACGGCCCACCAAGGCGACGAUUGGUAGCCGGACUGAGAGGUUGAACGGCCACAUUGGGACUGAGACACGGCCCAGACUCCUACGGGAGGCAGCAGUGGGGGAUAUUGCACAAUGGGGGAAACCCUGAUGCAGCGACGCCGCGUGGAGGAAGAAGGUUUUCGGAUUGUAAACUCCUGUCGUUAGGGACGAUAAUGACGGUACCUAACAAGAAAGCAC